This 533-nucleotide long non-coding RNA is filed under the name Salmo salar (Atlantic salmon). RNAcentral's name for it is "lncRNA (ENSSSAG00000116177.1)". Lineage: Eukaryota; Metazoa; Chordata; Actinopteri; Salmoniformes; Salmonidae. The record is from RNAcentral.
GAGACAGGUCAUCAUUAUGGUUGAAAUCCUCACCCAUCCUCAGAGAGACAGGUCAUCAUUAUGGUUGAAAUCCUCACCCAUCCUUAGAGACAGGUCAUCAUUAUGGUUGAAAUCCUCACCCAUCCCCAGAGAGACAGGUCAUUAUGGUUGAAAUCCUCACCCAUCCUCAGAGAGACAGGUCAUUAUGGUUGAAAUCCUCACCCAUCCUCAGAGAGAUAGGUCAUCAUUAUGGUUGAAAUCCUCACCCAUCCUCAGAGAGACAGGUCAUCAUUAUGGUUGAAAUCCUCAGAGAGACAGGUCAUCAUUGUAGAUGUGUUGUAAAAGGCCCUACAAUCACUUAUUUCAUGUACAAACAUUGAGAUCGGGUGAUGAUUGAGGACAUUUUUCAACUGAAAACAAAACCAGUCGGUUAUUAUUGGACAAGUCCAAGUCGUCUGUUCCUGUCGUCUUCCGUUUGAGACCUAAUGAAUACAAUCCUGUAUCAGCAGGGAGGUGAGUGAUCAAAACAACAGUAUGAGGCAGCCAUGGGUAAC